UUUAAUAGCAGCAAUGGGAACAUGGUCAAUAGAAACCCAUUAUUCUGUUUUUAGACUUUCAUAGCGUAGCAAAGCAGCACCAGUAGUUUUAGCUGCAUGAUUGUUCUGCUGAGACAUGUAAGACUAGUGCUUGCCCUUUCUUUUUACCAAGUAUUAAAAACAGUGCUUUUUACAACAGACUCAGUGCAGGUGCAGAUCUUUAUAUCUCAGGAAAAAAUGCCAGUUGGCAUCAUGCUCACGUGUGCACUUUAAGCUUAAACUACCCCAAAUGA
This is a long non-coding RNA of Gavialis gangeticus (Gharial), 272 nucleotides long. RefSeq lists it as uncharacterized. The transcript is spliced from 4 exons. The record is from RefSeq and is a predicted model, not a curated record. Lineage: Eukaryota; Metazoa; Chordata; Crocodylia; Gavialidae.